UGGGGAAUCUUGGACAAUGGGGGCAACCCUGAUCCAGCCAUGCCGCGUGAGUGAUGAAGGCCUUAGGGUCGUAAAGCUCUUUCGCCUGUGAAGAUAAUGACGGUAGCAGGUAAAGAAACCCCGGCUAACUCCGUGCCAGCAGCCGCGGUAAUACGGAGGGGGUUAGCGUUGUUCGGAAUUACUGGGCGUAAAGCGCACGUAGGCGGACCAGAAAGUUGGGGGUGAAAUCCCGGGGGCUCAACCCCGGAACUGCCUCCAAAACUAUUGGUCUAGAGUUCGAGAGAGGUGAGUGGAAUUCCAAGUGUAGAGGUGAAAUUCGUAGAUAUUUGGAGGAACACCAGUGGCGAAGGCGGCUCACUGGCUCGAUACUGACGCUGAGGUGCGAAAGUGUGGGGAGCAAACAGGAUUAGAUACCCCUGGUAGUCCACACCGUAAAACGAUGAAUGCCAGUCGUCGGGGUAGCAUGCUAUUCGGUGACACACCUAACGGAUU
This 492-nucleotide ribosomal RNA is filed under the name uncultured bacterium. RNAcentral describes it as "bacterial SSU rRNA". It matches the Rfam family "Bacterial small subunit ribosomal RNA", at positions 355 to 861 of the family's 1533-position model. The record is from RNAcentral.